UUUAAACUAACCCCCCCCCUUUUUUAGGGUUGGGUACUGGUUCGGGAUCACGCUGACGGCGUGCUAAUACAUGCACGUCGAGCGGACAGAUGGGAGCUUGCUCCUUGAUCUUAGCGGCGGACGGGUGAGUAACACGUGGGUAACCUGCCUGUAAGACUGGGAUAAAUCCGGGAAACCGGGGGUAAUACCGGAUGAUUGUCUGAUCCGCAUGGUUCGAACAUAAAAGGUGGCUUCGGCUACCACUUACAGAUGGACCCGCGGCGCCUUAGCUAGUUGGUGAGGUAAUGGCUCACCAAGGCAACGAUGCGUAGCCGACCUGAGAGGGUGAUCGGCCACCCUGGGAAUGAGACCCGGCCCCGACUCCUACGGGAGGCAGCCGUAGGGAAUCUUCCGCAAUGGACGAAAGUUUGACGGAGCAACGCCGCCUGAGUGAUGAAGGUUUUUGGAUCGUAAAGCUUUGUUGUUCGGGAAGAACAAGUACCGUUUGAAUAGGGCGGUACCUUGACGGUACCUAACCAGAAAGCCCCGGCUAAAUACGUGCCAGCAGCCGCGGUAAUACGUAGGUGGCCAGCGUUGUCCGGAAUUAUUGGGCGUAAAGGGCUCGCCGGCGGUUUAUUAAGUUUGAUGUGAAAGCCCCCGGCUCAACCGGGGAGGGUCAUUGGAAACUGGGGAACUUGAGUGCAGAAGAGGAGAGUGGAAUUCCACGUGUAGCGGUGAAAUGCGUAGAGAUGUGGAGGAACACCAGUGGCGAAGGCGACUCUCUGGUCUGUAACUGACGCUGAGGAGCGAAAGCGUGGGGAGCGAACAGGAUUAGAUACCCUGGUAGUCCACGCCAAAAACGAUGAGUGCUAAGUGUUAGGGGUGUUUCCUGACCCCUUCUAGUGCCUGCAGCUAACGCAAUAAGCACUCCGCCCUGGGAAGUACGCUCGCACAGACUGAAACUCAAAGGAAUUGACGGGGGCCCGCACAAGCGGUGGAGCAUGUGGUUUAAUUCGAAGCAACGCGAAGAACCUUACCAGGUCUUGACAUCCUCUGAACAUCCUAGAAAUAGGACGUCCCCUUCGGGGGCAGAGUGACAGGUGGUGCAUGGUUGUCGUCAGCUCGUGUCGUGAGAUGUUGGGUUAAGUCCCGCAACGAGCGCAACCCUUGAUCUUAGUUGCCAGCAUUCAGUUGGGCACUCUAAAGUGACUGCCGGUGACAAAACGGAGGAAGGUGGGGAUGACGUCAAAUCAUCAUGCCCCUUAUGACCUGGGCUACACACGUGCUACAAUGGACAGAACAAAGGGCAGCGAAACCGCGAGGUUAAGCCAAUCCCACAAAUCUGUUCUCAGUUCGGAUCGCAGGCUGCAACUCGACUGCGUGAAGCUGGAAUCGCUAGUAAUCGCGGAUCAGCAUGCCGCGGUGAAUACGUUCCCGGGCCUUGUACACACCGCCCGUCACACCACGAGAGUUUGUAACACCCGAAGUCGGUGAGGUAACCUUUUAGGAGCCAGCCGCCAAAGGUGGGACAGAUGAUGGGGGUUGAAGUCGUAACAA
This 1536-nucleotide ribosomal RNA is filed under the name Bacillus tequilensis. Its description in RNAcentral is "bacterial SSU rRNA". It matches the Rfam family "Bacterial small subunit ribosomal RNA". Lineage: Bacteria; Bacillati; Bacillota; Bacilli; Caryophanales; Bacillaceae. The record is from RNAcentral.